Molecule: non-coding RNA, 45 nt
Filed under: Schistosoma curassoni
Lineage: Eukaryota; Metazoa; Platyhelminthes; Trematoda; Strigeidida; Schistosomatidae
Source: RNAcentral
AUCCAGCUGACGAGUUGCAAAUAGAUCGAAAUCCACGUCCUGGAU